Molecule: ribosomal RNA, 1395 nt
Filed under: Escherichia coli
Lineage: Bacteria; Pseudomonadati; Pseudomonadota; Gammaproteobacteria; Enterobacterales; Enterobacteriaceae
Description: partial 23S ribosomal RNA
Rfam family: Bacterial large subunit ribosomal RNA
Source: RNAcentral
GAAAACUAAGGCUGAGGCGUGAUGACGAGGCACUACGGUGCUGAAGCAACAAAUGCCCUGCUUCCAGGAAAAGCCUCUAAGCAUCAGGUAACAUCAAAUCGUACCCCAAACCGACACAGGUGGUCAGGUAGAGAAUACCAAGGCGCUUGAGAGAACUCGGGUGAAGGAACUAGGCAAAAUGGUGCCGUAACUUCGGGAGAAGGCACGCUGAUAUGUAGGUGAAGUCCCUCGCGGAUGGAGCUGAAAUCAGUCGAAGAUACCAGCUGGCUGCAACUGUUUAUUAAAAACACAGCACUGUGCAAACACGAAAGUGGACGUAUACGGUGUGACGCCUGCCCGGUGCCGGAAGGUUAAUUGAUGGGGUUAGCGCAAGCGAAGCUCUUGAUCGAAGCCCCGGUAAACGGCGGCCGUAACUAUAACGGUCCUAAGGUAGCGAAAUUCCUUGUCGGGUAAGUUCCGACCUGCACGAAUGGCGUAAUGAUGGCCAGGCUGUCUCCACCCGAGACUCAGUGAAAUUGAACUCGCUGUGAAGAUGCAGUGUACCCGCGGCAAGACGGAAAGACCCCGUGAACCUUUACUAUAGCUUGACACUGAACAUUGAGCCUUGAUGUGUAGGAUAGGUGGGAGGCUUUGAAGUGUGGACGCCAGUCUGCAUGGAGCCGACCUUGAAAUACCACCCUUUAAUGUUUGAUGUUCUAACGUUGACCCGUAAUCCGGGUUGCGGACAGUGUCUGGUGGGUAGUUUGACUGGGGCGGUCUCCUCCUAAAGAGUAACGGAGGAGCACGAAGGUUGGCUAAUCCUGGUCGGACAUCAGGAGGUUAGUGCAAUGGCAUAAGCCAGCUUGACUGCGAGCGUGACGGCGCGAGCAGGUGCGAAAGCAGGUCAUAGUGAUCCGGUGGUUCUGAAUGGAAGGGCCAUCGCUCAACGGAUAAAAGGUACUCCGGGGAUAACAGGCUGAUACCGCCCAAGAGUUCAUAUCGACGGCGGUGUUUGGCACCUCGAUGUCGGCUCAUCACAUCCUGGGGCUGAAGUAGGUCCCAAGGGUAUGGCUGUUCGCCAUUUAAAGUGGUACGCGAGCUGGGUUUAGAACGUCGUGAGACAGUUCGGUCCCUAUCUGCCGUGGGCGCUGGAGAACUGAGGGGGGCUGCUCCUAGUACGAGAGGACCGGAGUGGACGCAUCACUGGUGUUCGGGUUGUCAUGCCAAUGGCACUGCCCGGUAGCUAAAUGCGGAAGAGAUAAGUGCUGAAAGCAUCUAAGCACGAAACUUGCCCCGAGAUGAGUUCUCCCUGACUCCUUGAGAGUCCUGAAGGAACGUUGAAGACGACGACGUUGAUAGGCCGGGUGUGUAAGCGCAGCGAUGCGUUGAGCUAACCGGUACUAAUGAACCGUGAGG